RNAcentral lists this ribosomal RNA (265 nucleotides) under uncultured bacterium. RNAcentral describes it as "partial 16S ribosomal RNA". It matches the Rfam family "Bacterial small subunit ribosomal RNA", at positions 524 to 787 of the family's 1533-position model. The record is from RNAcentral.
UACGGAGGGUGCCAGCGUUAAUCAGAAUUACUGGGCGUAAAGCGCACGUAGGCGGUUUAGCAAGUCGGAUGUGAAAGCCCCGGGCUUAACCUGGGAAUUGCAUUCGAGACUGCUUGGCUAGAGUUUGGUAGAGGGAAGCGGAAUUCCGGGUGUAGCGGUGAAAUGCGUAGAUAUCCGGAGGAACACCAGUGGCGAAGGCGGCUUUCUGGACCAAAACUGACGCUGAGGUGCGAAAGCGUGGGGAGCAAACAGGAUUAGAACGUCC